GAGACAACAUAGAAACAUAGAAAGAAGACAACAUAGAAAGAAGAGAAACAAAACGGUGGGAGAAGAUUUUUUUUUCUGCUCAGAAGAGGGAAGAAUAUUCUUCCAGGCUGGAUGUGUUUUCUCAGCCUCUUCAAGAAUACGGGUUAUGAU
This 150-nucleotide long non-coding RNA is filed under the name Felis catus (domestic cat). Its description in RNAcentral is "lncRNA (ENSFCAG00000051550.1)". Lineage: Eukaryota; Metazoa; Chordata; Mammalia; Carnivora; Felidae. The record is from RNAcentral.